This 117-nucleotide small RNA is filed under the name Marmota monax (woodchuck). The record is from RNAcentral. Lineage: Eukaryota; Metazoa; Chordata; Mammalia; Rodentia; Sciuridae.
GCUGGGUGCUGAGGUGCACACCUGUUAUCCCAGUGGCUCCGGAGGCUGAGGCAGGAGGAUUGCAAGUUCAAAGCCAGCCUCAGCAAAAGCGAGGUGCUAAGUGAGACCCUGUCUCUU